UGUGGGAGCGGGCUUGCUCGCGAAGGCGUUGUGUCAGUCGAUAUUAAAAUUGACUGACACACCACCUUCGCGAGCAAGCCCGCUCCCACA
Molecule: non-coding RNA, 90 nt
Filed under: Pseudomonas baetica
Lineage: Bacteria; Pseudomonadati; Pseudomonadota; Gammaproteobacteria; Pseudomonadales; Pseudomonadaceae
Source: RNAcentral